UAUACAGUGGCACUGCACUUUGUAGCGUUAAACCAAAACAUAAUCGUACGUCGAUGUGUUGUAUCGUCGGGAUUUUGGUUUUAAUUCAUUCUCUGGUUGUUUUCAGUGUGCUUAAGGAAUCAUAUGAACAGUUGAAAAAUACGUUCAUCACUUUUGGUGGAAAAUGGCAGUUCAUCUAGAAGGUUGUCCUUUUGAUAGCAGUAUGGAAAGAACAAUUUGGCCUACUCCCUGCCCGAGAAGUCCCAACACGGCUGUCUUUGCAUAUUAGAAUUGCAACAUGCUAAUGUCCAAUGGUCACAUGACGACCUUGUGGAUUCCGAACUCCGAAAAAUCGAUUCUUAUCCGGAAGAUGUUUGCAUCCACGGUGACGGAAGCAACUUUAAAAGUGAUUAAAUCGUAAAGCCAGAAUAACCGUGGACUACAUCAGAGUAAUUAUACUUUUAAGAAGUGCUCGUCUCCCUCACAUACACUACCGCUAGGUCAAUCCUGGCCAUGAAUCUUCGUAGAUCAUAGACCGAAAACGGGAUGGACCUCAAAUGAUAAGGGGCUUAAAAAGUAUCUGCCGUGGAAAAACCAUUCUGAUUGGCUGCACCAGAGUACUGUUGUAGACUAAGCGUGUCUGGGCGAAAUAAUACAAAGUGUUCUCUCCCCAACUGCAAACUGCAAGUGAGUUCAUACUUGGUAGCAUCUCAUUAAAAAAGGUGCGGAUCAGACUGACUAUACGGCCAGGAACACCCUUAGGGACAGCCGUCGCUUUCACCGGCUGAUGGCAUAGCUACAGGUGGUUAUAUUUGAAUGAGUCCGGACGUAUCUUCAUCACCUUUACACAAACGAAACCAAUUUCAGUCCGGAAAAAAAAGGAAAACCAGAAAUCAAUUCCUGAUGUAUAUACAGUUCAACAAAUUGUUAAUCAAUCAGUACUAAUACUUUUCCGAGAUAUUGAUAUUCUCGUGACCCGUUAAUAUUGCACUUUAAUAAUAAAUAUUAAAUGUUAUUUUUAUUCAUGAUAUAAAAUGAGAGACUAUAGUAGAUUCACAUCAACCGUGCAUUUGAUUUCUAGCCCAGUUCCUUACGACGCUCCUGAUUGGCUGUUGAUAAGCCAAUCACAGGGCUGGAAACUCUCAGUCUCUCUCGAGAGUUCACAUAGGCAGGAUGUAUG
Long non-coding RNA from Macrobrachium nipponense, 1159 nucleotides. RefSeq lists it as uncharacterized. The record is from RefSeq and is a predicted model, not a curated record. The transcript has 4 exons. Lineage: Eukaryota; Metazoa; Arthropoda; Malacostraca; Decapoda; Palaemonidae.